Molecule: ribosomal RNA, 447 nt
Filed under: uncultured bacterium
Lineage: Bacteria
Description: partial 16S ribosomal RNA
Rfam family: Bacterial small subunit ribosomal RNA
Source: RNAcentral
ACCAGACUCCUACGGGAGGCAGCAGUGGGGGAUAUUGCACAAUGGGGGGAACCCUGAUGCAGCGACGCCGCGUGGGUGAAGAAGCGCCUCGGCGCGUAAAGCCCUGUCAGCAGGGAAGAAAAUGACGGUACCUGAAGAAGAAGCCCCGGCUAACUACGUGCCAGCAGCCGCGGUAAUACGUGGGGGGCAAGCGUUAUCCGGAUUUACUGGGUGUAAAGGGGGCGCAGACGGCGAUGCAAGCCAGGAGUGAAAGCCCGGGGCCCAACCCCGGGACUGCUCUUGGAACUGCGUGGCUGGAGUGCAGGAGGGGCAGGCGGAAUUCCUGGUGUAGCGGUGAAAUGCGUAGAUAUCAGGAGGAACACCGGUGGCGAAGGCGGCCUGCUGGACUGCAACUGACGUUGAGGCCCGAAAGCGUGGGGAGCAAACAGGAUUAGAUACCCUGGUAGA